UUUCCGUAGGUGAACCUGCGGAAGGAUCAUUAUUGGAUUUUGAAACUUCAGGCUGCUGCUGACUCUCCUCGGAGGGCAUGUGCACGCUUGUUGUCCAUUAUUUCUCCCACUGUGCACAAAUUGUAGACCUUUCAGUAGGCCUAUGUUGUUUUUCACAAUCUCUGAAUGUAAUAGAAUGGUUUUGAAUCUUGGGAAAUACAAUACAACUUUCAGCAACGGAUCUCUUGGCUCUCGCAUCGAUGAAGAACGCAGG
Molecule: unclassified non-coding RNA, 253 nt
Filed under: plant metagenome
Description: partial contains small subunit ribosomal RNA, internal transcribed spacer 1, and 5.8S ribosomal RNA
Rfam family: 5.8S ribosomal RNA (bases 205-253)
Source: RNAcentral